RNAcentral lists this ribosomal RNA (263 nucleotides) under Amblyomma rotundatum. Its description in RNAcentral is "partial large subunit ribosomal RNA". Lineage: Eukaryota; Metazoa; Arthropoda; Arachnida; Ixodida; Ixodidae. The record is from RNAcentral.
UUUUUUUUUGUGAAGAAACAAAAAUAAAAAUUAAAGACAAGAAGACCCUAAGAAUUUUCUUUUUUACUUAAUAUAAAAUAUUUUAUUUAAAAAUUUAAUUGGGGCGAUUAAUGAAUAUUAAUAACUUUAUAAAGAAAUAAAAUGAUCCAUUAUUAAUGAUUGUUUGAUUAAAAUACUCUAGGGAUAACAGCGUAAUAAUUUUUGAUAGUUCUUAUAGAAAAAAUAGUUUGCGACCUCGAUGUUGGAUUAGGAUUCUUUUUUAA